GAUGAACGCUGGCGGCGUGCCUAAUACAUGCAAGUCGAGCGAAAGGACGCGGAGCUUGCUUUUCUGAUGUUAGCGACGGACGGGUGAGUAACACGUGGAUAACCUACCUAUAAGACUGGGAUAACUUCGAGAAACCGGAGCUAAUACCGGAUAAUAUUUUGAACCGCAUGGUUCAAAAGUGAAAGACGGUCUUGCUGUCACUUAUAGAUGGAUCCGCGCUGCAUGAGCUAGUUGGUAAGGUAACGGCUUACCAAGGCAACGAUGCAUAGCCGACCUGAGAGGGUGAUCGGCCACACUGGAACUGGAACACGGUCCAGACUCCUACGGGAGGCAGCAGUAGGGAAUCGUCCGCAAUGGGCGAAAGCCUGACGGAGCAACGCCGCGUGAGUGAUGAAGGUCUUCGUAUCGUAAAACUCUGUUAUUAGGGAAGAACAUAUGUGUAAGUAACUGUGCACAUCGUGACGGUACCUAAUCAGAAAGCCACGGCUAACUACGUG
RNAcentral lists this ribosomal RNA (497 nucleotides) under uncultured bacterium. RNAcentral's name for it is "partial 16S ribosomal RNA". It matches the Rfam family "Bacterial small subunit ribosomal RNA", at positions 28 to 507 of the family's 1533-position model. The record is from RNAcentral.